Molecule: ribosomal RNA, 497 nt
Filed under: uncultured bacterium
Lineage: Bacteria
Description: partial 16S ribosomal RNA
Rfam family: Bacterial small subunit ribosomal RNA
Source: RNAcentral
GAUGAACGCUGGCGGCGUGCCUAAUACAUGCAAGUCGAGCGAACAGACGAGGAGCUUGCUCCUCUGACGUUAGCGGCGGACGGGUGAGUAACACUUGGAUAACCUACCUAUAAGACUGGGAUAACUUCGGGAAACCGGAGCUAAUACCGGAUAAUAUAUUGAACCGCAUGGUUCAAUAGUGAAAGACGGUUUUGCUGUCACUUAUAGAUGGAUCCGCGCCGCAUUAGCUAGUUGGUAAGGUAACGGCUUACCCAGGCAACGAUGCGUAGCCGACCUGAGAGGGUGAUCGGCCACACUGGAACUGAGAAACGGUCCAGACUCCUACGGGAGGCAGCAGUAGGGAAUCUUCCGCAAUGGGCGAAAGCCUGACGGAGCAACGCCGCGUGAGUGAUGAAGGUCUUCGGAUCGGAAAACUCUGUUAUUAGGGAAGAACAAAUGUGUAAGUAACUAUGCACGUCUUGACGGUACCUAAUCAGAAAGCCACGGCUAACUACGUG